RNAcentral lists this transfer RNA (70 nucleotides) under Pseudorasbora parva (stone moroko). RNAcentral describes it as "tRNA-Pro". It matches the Rfam family "tRNA". Rfam says of the family: Transfer RNA (tRNA) molecules are approximately 80 nucleotides in length. RNAcentral also lists the same sequence under 5 other names. The record is from RNAcentral. Lineage: Eukaryota; Metazoa; Chordata; Actinopteri; Cypriniformes; Gobionidae.
CAGAAGAUAGUUUAGUUUAGAAUUCUGGCUUUGGGAGCCAGGGGUGGGAGUUAAAAUCUCUCUCUUCUGG